This 253-nucleotide ribosomal RNA is filed under the name uncultured bacterium. RNAcentral's name for it is "partial 16S ribosomal RNA". It matches the Rfam family "Bacterial small subunit ribosomal RNA", at positions 524 to 776 of the family's 1533-position model. The record is from RNAcentral.
UACAGAGGUGUCAAACGUUGUCCGGAAUUACUGGGCGUAAAGGGCUCGUAGGCGGCCAACUAAGUCAGACGUGAAAUCCCUCAGCUUAACUGGGGAACUGCGUCUGAUACUGGAUGGCUUGAGUUCGGGAGAGGGAUGCGGAAUUCCAGGUGUAGCGGUGAAAUGCGUAGAUAUCUGGAGGAACACCGGUGGCGAAGGCGGCAUCCUGGACCGACACUGACGCUGAGGAGCGAAAGCCAGGGGAGCAAACGGG